RNAcentral lists this ribosomal RNA (103 nucleotides) under Tsuga heterophylla (western hemlock). RNAcentral's name for it is "4.5S ribosomal RNA". RNAcentral also lists the same sequence under 90 other names. The record is from RNAcentral. Lineage: Eukaryota; Viridiplantae; Streptophyta; Pinopsida; Pinales; Pinaceae.
UAAGGUCACGGCGAGACGAGCCGUUUAUCAUUAUGAUAGGUGUCAAGUGGAAGUGCAGUGAUGUAUGCAGCUGAGGCAUCCUAACAGACCGAGAGAUUUGAAC